UACGAAGGGGGCUAGCGUUGCUCGGAAUCACUGGGCGUAAAGGGUGCGUAGGCGGGUCUUUAAGUCAGGGGUGAAAUCCUGGAGCUCAACUCCAGAACUGCCUUUGAUACUGAAGAUCUUGAGUUCGGGAGAGGUGAGUGGAACUGCGAGUGUAGAGGUGAAAUUCGUAGAUAUUCGGAAGAACACCAGUGGCGAAGGCGGCCCGCUGGACAUGUAUUGACGCUGAGGUGCGAAAGCGUGGGGAGCAAACAGG
This 253-nucleotide ribosomal RNA is filed under the name uncultured bacterium. RNAcentral describes it as "partial 16S ribosomal RNA". It matches the Rfam family "Bacterial small subunit ribosomal RNA", at positions 524 to 776 of the family's 1533-position model. The record is from RNAcentral.